Long non-coding RNA from Mauremys mutica (yellowpond turtle), 1818 nucleotides. RefSeq lists it as uncharacterized. NCBI's taxonomy places the organism in Eukaryota, Metazoa, Chordata, Testudines, Geoemydidae. The record is from RefSeq and is a predicted model, not a curated record. The transcript is spliced from 4 exons.
AGGAUCUGCCCCAGGGAUGAUUUGGGGGCAGCUCUCCAGCCUGUUAUGCAGGAGGUUGGAUUAGAUCAGCAGGUCUCAAACUUCUGUACUGGGGAUCCCUUUCACACAGCAAGACUCUGAGGGUGACCCCCCCCCCCCUUAUAAACUAAAAACACUUUUGUAUAUAUUUAAUGUGGGUACAAGUGUUGGCAAACCACGCUGUCCCUGCAUUGAACCUUGGUAUUGUUCCCCUCCUAGUACGGUACAGUAGGUACACUCUGUUAUGCAAGUCUUAGUUACACGGAAGACACAAGACAAUGGCCCAUUGAGGAAAGCCAGCCUUAACCAAUUAGUAGGAAAUAAACAAGUAUAUCAAUCAUGUAGUAAUGAGUAACCUGUCUGUAAGAAAGGGAAUAAAAGAAAAGGUCCGGGACUUUCCUAGGACGCCUCUCUGCAGCACCGUCUCUGUUUCCCGUUACUACAUCUGGUGACCCCGACGUGAUCCAGACACAAGACCCCCGACUCAUCGGCUGGCUUAGCCUUGGUGCACCACAGCGCAACGCGCUCCCUCAUUGCUGCGGUCUUACAACACAUUCGAACCCACAAGCCGACCCCAGGACCAGAGCUCCCUCCCUCGUGGAAAACUGACCUGCAAAAGAUGCUUCAGGAAUACGGCCUUCAGAUAGCCCCAGAAAAGUUUUUAUCUAGAGCCCAGCACCAUUAUCGACAGACCGAGCCCCUUCCAGCGCCGAAGGUGAUAUAUCGCAAGCUGCCAGGACCAGAGUGGAGCCUGCCCGUGCCGCUCAUUACCUGGGGCCGGGGCUACGCAGCGGUGUCAACUGAAACCGGCCCUGUGUGGGUUCCCGCUCGCUUUGUGAAGCCGUGGAAAGAUGGCCUGGCAUCAGGGGCUAAAGAAUCCCAUUCCGGAUUUCAGUCUGACCCUGACGGAUAGGGUGGACAAGAUCGACAAGGCCCGAAAGCGUGGCACACCCAACGCUGCCAUAACUUGGGGACAGGUCAAAGCUUUAUCGCGGCAGGCUGAACGUGUAUUAGAACAAACUAAGGCGGAUAAGACUACAGAAAAUUAUGUUCUUGCGCUAGUAGCCAGCUUAAAUGCUAAUUCUCUUUGUUGGAUUAUGUACAUUUGUGUGACCGUUCUGUGUUUGCCGCAAGGUGUUGCAAAAUCGAGCGGCUAUAGAUUAUUUACUUAUGCUGCAUCAUUAUGGGUGUGAAAAGGUUAAUGAUAUGUGUUGCUUUAAUAUUUCUGAUCACCAUCAUUCAGUUGAAAAUCAACUCAAGAUUAUUAAAAAUUUAACAGAUCAAAUCAGAUACAAUCCAGACCCCCUCGCGGGAUGGUGGGAUUGGCUUUCCUCAUGGCUUCCUAACAUUGGGUGGUUGCAUCAGCUUGUCACCUUUGGAGGACUCACUGUACUCUUGCUCGUGCUAUUUUGCUGCGGCAUUCAGUGUGUCCCCUCCUUUGUUUCUCUCUUUAUCAAGGGCUGUCCGUGGACCUACCCAGGGCCCCCUCAAAAGUAUUAGUCAUAUUUAACAAAACAAAAAGGGGGAGAUGUGGGUACAAGUGUUGGCAAACCACGCUGUCCCUGCAUUGAACCUUGGUAUUGUUCCCCUCCUAGUACGGUACAGUAGGUACACUCUGUUAUGCAAGUCUUAGUUACACGGAAGACACAAGACAAUGGCCCAUUGAGGAAAGCCAGCCUUAACCAAUUAGUAGGAAAUAAACAAGUAUAUCAAUCAUGUAGUAAUGAGUAACCUGUCUGUAAGAAAGGGAAUAAAAGAAAAGGUCCGGGACUUUCCUAGGACGCCUCUCUGCAGCACCGU